UGCAGUGUACCAGCUACCUCUACAGUUCGACUUUGGCGCUGCUGAAGUCCAUGCCAACCUUUGAAAAAGAGGAAAUUGGUCCAGGAGAGAAAGGACUAUGUCAAGAAGCCCCUCAACGCCUUCAUGGUCUACGCAAAGGAGCAGCGUCCUGCGUUGAAAGAGUUGCUUGCCAACAAAGACAGUGCCACCAUAAAUAAACUGCUGGGACAGAUGGGGAGUUUGUCCAUUGGCCCGGCCGACGCACUGUUGUUGUUACUGCAAUUGUACGUUUUUUUGUGUUGACACUCUUGUCAUUUUGUCCACAGUGGAAAACACUCCCCUCUAGUGACAGACAAAAAUAUUUGGAUGAACAGGUGCGCUUGGACCGGGAGCACGCCACAAAAUAUCCCAACUGGUCGGCCCGCGACAACUAUGGCAAAAGAAAGAGAAGAACGUGUUCCCUGGCAUCACGUAAGUUUCUUUUUUUCCCUUCAAAUCCAUUUUGGAGUUUACAGUUUUUCAUUAUUGUUAACACAUAUUUUUUCGAUACAAUAACAGAUUUCUCAAUACAGCGCACACAAAAGGCUAAACAUGACACUCCUUUUGCAAGAAGUCUGUUGCCAUCAAAUCUGUACAUUGUGUUCACUCGUGUUUUCAUUUUCUACACAGUUGUAUUUCCACUGACACACAUACCAUAUAUUGAGUACGCACAGCUAAGGUUUUGCUGCACACUACCUAGCAUUUACAGCACAUUGUACUGCAAAACUGAAAUCACAAUAGUCCAAUGGAACACACCAUAUGAAUGAAAAUGAAUCUGUAAAAUAAGAUAUUUCCCCUUUUGAAACUAUGACUUGAUAUAGCCUACUUUUUCAUGAAACAAACUUUCAAACAGCUCACAAAAAUGCAGCCAUUUCCCCCCCUUUUUUGUACAUGAUUGAAGAUUUAUCAUGAUGAUGCAUCAUCAUGACUUUGAUUUCUGUCAGGCCAGAGGGGGGCGUCCACAUCACAAUCAAUGUUUUAUCGAUUUAGACAUCUCUGGAAGAACCGGGCUUGUGUGGAUCGAAUUGAAAGCUGCAUUAUUAUUAUGUUGGACGAAAAGUACGUGAAGUUAAGGUUUUGUGUUUUAACAAUCGUGAAAAACUGUAUCCUUUCCAAGAUUAUUCAUUAUCAUUGUAUUUUUUUAGAAAAAAUACAAUGUUAAAUGUAAUCUUAUUUUAAGUUGUGGGUGGUCAUCAGUGAUUUUUUUUUCUUCCCGGGUUGUACGAGCCAACUCCCCGCUGCCUCUCCAGACGCUGCCUAUCGGGUCGCCUUGUAUCCGGUUUCUGCCUAUCAGGUCGCUGUAUCUCCAGUUGCUGCCUAUCCAGUCGCUGCUGCUCCGGUCGUGGACUAUCUGGUUUAUGCCUAUUUGGAUGCUGCCUAUCCAGUCGGUUCUUAUAUGGUCAAUGCUGCUGUGGCCCCUGCUCCAAUUGUCUCCCCCGUCACCUAUCUGCCACCCUCCUCUUCCGACAUGACAGCAGAGCACAACCUUGAGCAGGAAUUCAAUGAAUUUUUACUAGAGCUGGCAAAUCAGCCCAUCGAUCAAUGGCCAGAUGAUCUCUUAAAUUUGUAAAUAGUGUAUAUUUUAAAAUGUUGU
Molecule: long non-coding RNA, 1612 nt
Organism: Corythoichthys intestinalis (scribbled pipefish)
Lineage: Eukaryota; Metazoa; Chordata; Actinopteri; Syngnathiformes; Syngnathidae
Exons: 3
Source: RefSeq, a predicted model, not a curated record